This is a non-coding RNA of Pelobates cultripes (western spadefoot toad), 229 nucleotides long. NCBI's taxonomy places the organism in Eukaryota, Metazoa, Chordata, Amphibia, Anura, Pelobatidae. The record is from the annotation of a GenBank genome assembly.
GUGCAUUGAAAACAAAUGACAAAAUUCUGCAGAAACUUGUACGUUUUGUGCUCUCAUUCAGUAAGGUGGACCAGCACCAUAAGGUUAACUAAAUAUUCUUAAAGGAACACUCCAAACACCAUAGCUACUAUAGCGUGCUUGUUUGUGAGUGGUUUGGCAACUCACCUAGGAUCUGGGCAUUGAUCGCAGCCUUCAGUAGAGCCAAAAGCUUCUGCUGGCUAACAGUUUG